CUCGCGUGACAUUAGCCAGAUGGUGAGGUAACGGCUCACCAUAGCAAUGAUGUCUAGGGGUUUUGAGAGGAAGGCCCCCCACACUGGGACUGAGACACGGCCCAGACUCCUACGGGAGGCAGCAGUGAGGAAUAUUGGACAAUGGAUGGAAAUCUGAUCCAGCCAUGCCGCGUGCAGGAAGACGGCCUUAUGGGUUGUAAACUGCUUUUAUACGGGAGCAAUAAGGGUUACGAGUAAUCCGAUGAGAGUACUGUAUGAAUAAGGAUCGGCUAACUCCGUGCCAGCAGCCGCGGUAAUACGGAGGAUCCGAGCGUUAUCCGGAAUUAUUGGGUUUAAAGGGUGCGUAGGCGGCCAUUUAAGUCAGCGGUGAAAUUUUGCAGCUUAACUGUAACAGUGCCGUUGAUACUGUUUGGCUAGGAUUUGGUUGUAGUGUGCGGAAUGUGUGGUGUAGCGGUGAAAUGCUUAGAUAUCACACAGAACACCGAUUGCGAAGGCAGCACACUAAGUCAUUAUUGACGCUGAGGCACGAAAGUGUGGGGAUCAAACAGGAUUAGAUACCCUGGUAGUCCACACUGUAAACGAUGAUAACUCGCUGUCGGCGAUACACAGUCGGUGGCCAAGCGAAAGCAUUAAGUUAUCCACCUGGGGAGUACGACCGCAAGGUUGAAACUCAAAGGAAUUGACGGGGGCCCGCACAAGCGGAGGAACAUGUGGUUUAAUUCGAUGAUACGCGAGGAACCUUACCCGGGCUCGAACGGUGCAUGAAUAUACGAGAGAUUGUAUAGUCCUUCGGGACAUGUAUCGAGGUGCUGCAUGGUUGUCGUCAGCUCGUGCCGUGAGGUGUCGGCUUAAGUGCCAUAACGAGCGCAACCCUUGUCAUUAGUUGCCAUCAGGUCAAGCUGGGGACUUUAAUGAGACUGCCACCGUAAGGUGUGAGGAAGGGGGGGAUGACGUCAAAUCAGCACGGCCCUUAUGUCCGGGGCGACACACGUGUUACAAUGGGAGGUACAGAGGGCAGCUAUCCGGUGACGGAAUGCUAAUCUCCAAAACCUUUCUCAGUUCGGAUUGGAGUCUGCAACUCGACUCCAUGAAGGUGGAUUCGCUAGUAAUCGCGCAUCAGCCAUGGCGCGGUGAAUAAAAGGCCGGGCCUUGCACACACCGCCCG
This 1165-nucleotide ribosomal RNA is filed under the name uncultured bacterium. Its description in RNAcentral is "bacterial SSU rRNA". It matches the Rfam family "Bacterial small subunit ribosomal RNA", at positions 230 to 1396 of the family's 1533-position model. The record is from RNAcentral.